UUUAGAUGUUUUGGUACAUUGAUUUUCAGGUUCUAGGUUAUUUCUUCCGCAUUGUUUAGUUCUUGUUAGACUUUUGUUGGAGUUUAUGGGAACUCCCUAUUUAUUUUCUUAGCAUUUAACUUGCUUCCGUAACUUAAAUGCCUUAGUUUUGGUUUAGUUGCUUGGUUUGAGUUGUAGUAGUGGUUCUCCCACCGGAGAGU
This 200-nucleotide long non-coding RNA is filed under the name Solanum tuberosum (potato). Its description in RNAcentral is "long non-coding RNA (STUB_LNC001823)". The record is from RNAcentral. Lineage: Eukaryota; Viridiplantae; Streptophyta; Magnoliopsida; Solanales; Solanaceae.